CGGCCGCGCUGGUCGCUGUCCGCUCCGGUAAGGUGCUGAAACUGACCGUGCUGGACGAGAGGUACCGCGCGGCGCUGCUCUGCCGGCCACAGCAGAUCGCCUUGGAUCCCCGCAGCGUGAAGUUUCUGCUGGGACUCGGGGUGGACUUUGAUAACAUGGAGGGCUGUUGGCACAACGAGCAUUUCUUCACCCGGAUAGGCGUGUUUCAGGAGUACCUGCUGAGCAUCCUAGAGCAGAAGAAACUGAAGGUGGACGUCAAGGUGCAGCUGGGAACCAAGAUCAUGAAGAAUAUUUUCCACCAGUCCUUCAAUGUUUAUAAGACGGACAUCGAGCCUCGUCUCAACGACGUGACGCUGCACCGCAUGCAGUGCAGCCGGCGUCUCUUUGAGAUUCAGUUAUCACACAGACGCAUCAGCGCUGCCUUCAUAGAGGGGGACAAUGUGGCCGUCACCGUGGAGGGGGAGGCGGCGCGCGUCCUCAACUUUGACACAGGUUGCGGAGUGAAUCUGGGUAUGCAAGGACUGGAGUCAAUGGGGACGUUCAUUUACCAGACAGCCACAGCUGUGGACCAGAACGAUGUUCUAGAGGCACUGUCUGCUAAAAUGCAACACUCCAGACAGGUGGCCGAGAGCUUCAAGCAGACAGGCCUGGCUCAAUCAAUUUAUGAAUGAAACACGAGGACGGGCAGGUGAAUGCAUAGUGCCCCCUAGUGGGAAGUGGUGGUGGAUUGUUUGUGUUUACACUGAAUGUUUACAAUGAAUCACUGUUGAUUACACACUGAAAGCAGAUGAACGGACGUGAUCUUUGCCUGGAUGAAUACAGGGUGUAAAGAUGUGACCACAAGUCGUUGUGAUGUACAAUGGGUGGAGCUAUUUAAUUAUGCAUGGAGCACACAUGCCAUGGACACAUUUGCUACGAGGCCUUUGAAGUUCUGUUUUUUCAGGUUGCAAAGCUCGUCAAUUCAAACAGAUGCAGAUGAGAUCUGACACAAUCUACAGUACAUUGUCUAUUAAUGCACUGCACUGGAUUUGGAUUCCUCUGUUAAGUGUCAGAACGAACCGGAUGAGGAGUUUCCUAAAUCUAGUCCAUUGUGUUCUCUUAACAUCGGUGUAAUGAGACUGUUGUGCAGCAACAUCAACAGGAGCUGAAUAAUGCAUUAAACUGUUAUUGUAUGUGAUUUAACAGAGGAGCACAUGUGUAGAAUCUGAUAUCCAGUCUAUCGUGCCGUUUGUCCUUGUGUUUUGCGUGGCGCAAACUGUGUUGAUGACGUUGUGAAGUAUGUGUGUGCUCUUUUUUGUGUACUUUUUAAGCAGGUUUCAAAAGCUCCCAUUAAAUAGGGCAAUUGUAAUAUCACAAACUAAUUUGGCUGGUGUCACAUUCAUUUCUAAAGAACUGAAGUGACAUUUGAGAGAUUGGGAGUAUAAUAAAAUCCUGCUCCUGUUGAAGUGCCAAUAAAUGUGGUGGUUGGGUAUAAGUUAUAUGGAUCGUCUUUACAUAGAACCCCUGUAUGUUUAAUUGGAGAUGAACGCAAUUUAACAAAGGUUAAAGCAACCAGUGUAGGAACUUGUUAGGGGUUUACAAAGAUUUUUGCAAAUCAAAUGAAAAUAAAAUGAAAAAAAACGAUGAG
Molecule: long non-coding RNA, 1627 nt
Organism: Gasterosteus aculeatus aculeatus (three-spined stickleback)
Lineage: Eukaryota; Metazoa; Chordata; Actinopteri; Perciformes; Gasterosteidae
Source: Ensembl